CCAGUGCCUGGCAAUCCAUGGCUCUGCGCAGAGCCGUUGUGUGGUUUUUAGAGGUUAUUUUGGUGCUCUGUGGUCCAUCUGGAAGGCACUCUGUUAUUAUUUCGGCACCAUUUCAGGCUGCUUUGAGGUUAUUUUGGGAUCAUUUAGUGCCAUUUUGGGAUUGUUUCAGAGUCAUUUUGGUGCCAUUUGGGCCAGUUGGAGCUAGACUGUCUGCGGGUAGUCUGGGCCUUUUGGGGACUGCUCUGGUGCCAUUUUGGGCUGCACUGUGGUCGUUUUGGGGGUUCUUUUGGGGUAAUAGUAUAGACAAAGCCGCAGUGCAGCAGCUGACGGUGACGCGGCCCUGGCGGUCCCUGUGUGUCCCGCCGCACUGUGCGACGUCCUGAAUGGACGCGGAGGGUAGGAAAGCAGCAGGCAGGGGCGGCUCGAGGAGGGGGCGUGGCUUGAAGAGUCCCCGCCCCCCGCUCAAUAUAAAUCGAAGCGGCGGCAGGUCUAAGCGGGAGUGUGUCCCGCGGGGGCGGCCAUGGCGGUGAUGUGCUGCCUCCUGCUGCUGCUGUGCGGCGCUGCGCUGGGACCCGCCGUGCACCUCGACUUCACCGAGCACCGCAGCCAGGCGGCCAAGAUCAAGGUCAACCCCCGCGGCAACCUCUGGGCCACAGGUCACUUCAUGGGGAAGAAGAGCGUGCCCGGCACCCCGCGUCUGGAUGAACUGCGGCAGCCGGCCGUGCCGAUGGCUUUCGGCCCUUCGCUCAGAGCUUUGCUGGAGGACGUGGUGGAACUGCUUACCCGGGAGCUCCUGAAAAUCCUCUUGCAAGAAAGACUUUUGGAUGAGAACCAAAGAAAAUACGAUCUCACUGACGAGCAGGAAGUAAUGGAGACCCUAGAAGAGAUGAAAUCCUCAUAGGUGUGUCCUAUGUGCGCUCCCACUGAGCUGCCAUGCUUGAGGAGCCAUUCAGUAGCUGAACACAGAUUUAGGUAAACUGAGGAUCUCCUUGGGACAGAAGAUACAGCCGGAGAUGGAGCCAGAGCUAGAACCCAGUGCUGGACAUCAGCCUUUGGAGACUGGGCUUUUAACAAAGGUGCUGGAGAAGUAUUUUUCAAACUGAAGAAGCGCAGCAGUGAAGGAUGAGGUCGGCAGGCUAAGCUGUGCAUGGCAAAUGAAGGAGAGCAUCAUCCUUGUGGGUUACUGUAGCAACAUCACUUUUAUUUAUUUUUUCUGUAAUACUGUUAAUAGUGAUUGCUUGUAUGAAAAGCAGAUCCUCCCUGUAUAUUUCCUGUAUGUUUUCUGCUUCCUUGAUGUCUGAUGUGCCCCUGUGAAUAAAACCAGCUCUUUGCAGAUGCUAGCUCAGACUUUUUC
Non-coding RNA from Meleagris gallopavo (turkey), 1354 nucleotides. The record is from RefSeq and is a predicted model, not a curated record. Lineage: Eukaryota; Metazoa; Chordata; Aves; Galliformes; Phasianidae.